Molecule: ribosomal RNA, 253 nt
Filed under: uncultured bacterium
Lineage: Bacteria
Description: partial 16S ribosomal RNA
Rfam family: Bacterial small subunit ribosomal RNA
Source: RNAcentral
UACGUAGGGGGCUAGCGUUGUUCGGAUUCAUUGGGCGUAAAGGGUGCGUAGGUGGCGCCGUAAGUCGGGUGUGAAAUUUCGGAGCUUAACUCCGAAACUGCAUUCGAUACUGCGGUGCUUGAGGACUGGAGAGGAGACUGGAAUUCAUGGUGUAGCGGUGAAAUGCGUAGAGAUCAGGAGGAAGACCAGUGGCGAAGGCGGGUCUCUGGACAGUUCCUGACGCUGAGGCACGAAAGCCAGGGGAGCAAACGGG